GGCGUGGUCAAUAGCGGCAUUUUUUGUGGCGCUUGUUGAAGCGCCGCAAAUACUUACAACUGCGCUAAAAGGCGCCGCUGAAGGCCUAAAAAAAUGCCGUUAAAACCCUAUUUUGGUGUAGUGAUAGUAAGAUCAUCUAGCUGUAAGCUGCAAUCAACAGCACAUGAUGAAUUAUGUAAAAUACCAUGACGUAGAACCUCACCUUUUUCAAAUAACUCAUUUCCUUCACAAGCAGACUCUCCUCUUCCUUAAGUUCAGCAAAAGUCUGAAAAAUGACGGAUUCUUCCAGUUAAUAAUAAUACCCCUGAAUGAAUCAUCUUCGGAUUUUCUUUCAUAAAACAUUUCCCACCAAAAACAUGAAUCAAAAAGAUCAAUCACUUUACGUUCUUUCUUCUCUAUCUCUUCGUGGUUGUGCUAGUGGUUCCAUUAGCAGUAACGCCCUGCAAAAUACAUCAACUGAUCAAUAUAAUUUUAAACUGCAAAAUACAUCAACUGAUCAAGAACCAACAAAUUGAAAAAAAAAAUGCUAUAGGAUAAUUUGGAAUACUAGAUGGAUGAAAAUAGUAAAUUUCAAAAGUGGAUAAACAAUUGAACAAAAGCUUGGAGAUUUGGUGGCAGCCCACCUAAAACCCAGGCACAAUUAAAAUCUAAUUUUGAUAAUAAGCUUUCAAGGGUGUUCCAAUGGCGGGUUUUGAGAUAUUUGUGUAUGACAGCAGCGUAGAAAUUGGGAAGCCAAAGCCAGUCCACUAACCCAGCCGCUCCUACUCACGGAAGUGGGCAAUAGUAACACGGCACGCCACAUUACCAAAGAUGUUAACACAUGAUUGAAUUUAAACCUUAUAUCCAUCCAUUGUAUUUGAACUGUUCAGGUCACGUGACUUUUUUAUCAUAUGAUCUGUCCUGACGGCAACCAGUUAUUGGGUCACUACCUGUAUAAGCACUUGCAUUCCCAUUUUGUCUCCCAGUUGUAUUUCCAACUAAUUAUCACUGUUCAUUCUACCUUCGCCACUAUUCAAAGAUUAGAUUUCAUAGCUUCUCAAUCUUAUCUCAAAGAAUCUAUAAUUAAGAUGCUUUAAUAAUCGCG
Molecule: long non-coding RNA, 1084 nt
Filed under: Gossypium barbadense (sea-island cotton)
Lineage: Eukaryota; Viridiplantae; Streptophyta; Magnoliopsida; Malvales; Malvaceae
Description: long non-coding RNA (GBAR_LNC015954)
Source: RNAcentral